RNAcentral lists this unclassified non-coding RNA (345 nucleotides) under soil metagenome. RNAcentral's name for it is "partial contains 5.8S ribosomal RNA, internal transcribed spacer 2, and large subunit ribosomal RNA". The stretch from base 1 to 119 matches the Rfam family "5.8S ribosomal RNA", at positions 35 to 154 of the family's 154-position model. The record is from RNAcentral.
GAUGAAGAACGCAGCGAAAUGCGAUACGUAAUGUGAAUUGCAAAUUCGGUGAAUCAUCGAGUCUUUGAACGCACAUUGCGCCCCCUGGUAUUCCGGGGGGCAUGCCUGUCCGAGCGUCAUUGCUGCCCUCAAGCACGGCUUGUGUGUUGGGCCCCGUCCUCCGAUCCCGGGGGACGGGCCCGAAAGGCAGCGGCGGCACCGCGUCCGGUCCUCGAGCGUAUGGGGCUUUGUCACCCGCUCUGUAGGCCCGGCCGGCGCUUGCCGAUCAACCCAAAUUUUUAUCCAGGUUGACCUCGGAUCAGGUAGGGAUACCCGCUGAACUUAAGCAUAUCAAUAAGCGGAGGA